UUGGGAAAGAUGCUGAUACCAUGUCUAAGC
RNAcentral lists this non-coding RNA (30 nucleotides) under Rattus norvegicus (Norway rat). Lineage: Eukaryota; Metazoa; Chordata; Mammalia; Rodentia; Muridae. The record is from RNAcentral.